GGGGUUAAAAUUAAUAAAAUAAAAUUAAUAAAAAAAAUUUUAAUAUUAAAAUAUUUAAUGGGGGUUAAAGUAUUUUUAAUAGAAAAAAUUUUAAGUUUUAUAGUUUAUUAGUAUUGUAAAAGAAAUUUGAAAUAGUUUUGAAAAUAAAUUUAUAAAAAAGUAAAUUUAAAUUAUUGUAUCUUGUGUAUCAGAGUUUAUUAAAAAUUUUUUAAAUAAUAAAUUUCUCGAAUUUAAAAGAGUUAAUUAAUUAAAAAAUUUAUUGUUUUAUAAAUAUUUUAAAUAAUUAAUUGGAAAUGAAAUGUUAUUCGUUUUUAAAUAUAUCUAGUUUUUUUAGAAAAAAAUUUAAUUUUUAAUUAAAAUAAAAAAUUAAUUAAUUAAUUAAUUAAUUUUUUAUUUUAAUUGAAUAUUUUAAGGGAUAAGCUUUAAAUUAAAUUUAUAUAAUUAAUUUUAAAUGAUUAAUGAAAUUUAUAUAAUUUAUAUUGUUAAUAAAUUUUAAUUUAUUAUAAAUAAUUUCAUUUAAAUUAAAAUUUAAAUUAAGAAAUUUAUAUUUUUAUAAAAAAAUAUUUUUUAACAAUUUAUAUUUAAUUAUAAUGAUAAAAUUAGUAUAUAAAUUUUAAAUAAGUAAUUUUUAUAUUAUGAUAAUUAUUUUUAAGGAAUUCGACAAAAAUAUAUAUUCACCUGUUUAUCAAAAACAUGUCUUUUUGUUUAUAAUUUAAAGUCUAAUCUGCCCACUGAUAAAAAAAAAUUAAAGGGCUGCAGUAUUUUGACUGUACAAAGGUAGCAUAAUCAUUAGUCUCUUAAUUGGUGACUUGUAUGAAAGAUUGGAUGAAAUAUAAAUUGUCUCUGAAGUAUAUUAUUGAAAUUAAUUUUUUAAUUAAAAAGUUAAAAUAAAUUAAAAAGACGAGAAGACCCUAUAGAGUUUUAUAUUUUUAUAAAUUUAAAUUAUAAAUAAAUUUGUAAUUAAUUUAAAUUUAUAAAAAUAUUUUGUUGGGGUGAUAAAAAAAUUUAAUUAACUUUUUUUGAAAUUAAACAAUAAUAAAUGAUUUUUUGAUCCAAUAAUAUUGAUUAUAAGAAAAAAUUACCUUAGGGAUAACAGCGUAAUUUUUUUUUUUAGUUCAAAUAAGAAAAAAAGUUUGCGACCUCGAUGUUGGAUUAAGAUAAAAUUUAAAUGCAAAAGUUUAAAAUUUUUGAUCUGUUCGAUCAUUAAAAUCUUACAUGAUCUGAGUUCAAACCGGUGUAAGCCAGGUUGGUUUCUAUCUUUUAAUAUAAAUGUAAUAUUUUAGUACGAAAGGAUCAAGUAUUGUAAUUAAAUUAAAUUUAUUGAAUAUUAAUAAGUUAUAAUUAGAAUUAUA
Molecule: ribosomal RNA, 1352 nt
Filed under: Phyllosphingia dissimilis
Lineage: Eukaryota; Metazoa; Arthropoda; Insecta; Lepidoptera; Sphingidae
Description: 16S ribosomal RNA
Source: RNAcentral